UUGGUGAGGUAACGGCUCACCAAGGCAUCGAUGGAUAGGGGAACUGAGAGGUUUAUCCCCCACACUGGGACUGAGACACGGCCCAGACUCCUACGGGAGGCAGCAGUGAGGAAUAUUGGUCAAUGAGGGCAACCUUGAACCAGCCAAGUCGCGUGAAGGAUGACUGUCCUAAGGAUUGUAAACUUCUUUUAUAUGGGAAUAAUUGUAGCCACGUGUGGUUAUUUGCAUGUACCAUAUGAAUAAGGAUCGGCUAACUCCGUGCCAGCAGCCGCGGUAAUACGGAGGAUCCAAGCGUUAUCCGGAUUUAUUGGGUUUAAAGGGUGCGCAGGCGGGAGAUUAAGUCGGUGGUGAAAUUUUGCGGCUCAACCGUAAGAGUGCCAUCGAAACUGGUUUUCUUGAGUGUAGAUGAAGUAGGCGGAAUUUGUGGUGUAGCGGUGAAAUGCAUAGAUAUCACGAGGAACUCCAAUUGCGCAGGCAGCUUACUAAACUACUACUGACGCUCAUGCACGAAGGCGUGGGGAUCAAACAGGAUUAGAUACCCUGGUAGUCCACGCAGUAAACGAUGAUUACUAGUUGUUUGCGAUACACUGUAAGCGACUGCGCGAAAGC
RNAcentral lists this ribosomal RNA (609 nucleotides) under uncultured bacterium. RNAcentral's name for it is "bacterial SSU rRNA". It matches the Rfam family "Bacterial small subunit ribosomal RNA", at positions 249 to 858 of the family's 1533-position model. The record is from RNAcentral.